AACCGCACUCUCUGUUUCGAUCGCCGGAAACACUCGAAGACGCGACGGGAACCACCUUUCGUUACGCUUCGGAAACUGCAACAUGCCGGAGUACCAAAGCGUCGCCGGUUAAACGGAGCUCGCCGGAGAUUACGAGACGUCGCCGGAACCGAAACCCGACUCGACGUGUUUCGGUUGAUAGUCAAGAUAAUGAAGGAAUCAAGUUAGGAUGGACUAGAUACCCACUUUAAUAAUAAACUAUGUUUUCAUUUAUGAAAUUUGAUUUAAUUAUAUUGUCACAAUAG
RNAcentral lists this long non-coding RNA (284 nucleotides) under Helianthus annuus (common sunflower). Its description in RNAcentral is "sRNA HanXRQr2_Chr15g0700311". The record is from RNAcentral. Lineage: Eukaryota; Viridiplantae; Streptophyta; Magnoliopsida; Asterales; Asteraceae.